CAGCAGCCGCGGGAAUACGAAGGGUGCAAGCGUUAAUCGGAAUUACUGGGCGUAAAGCGUGCGUAGGCGGUUUGUUAAGUCUGCUGUGAAAUCCCCGGGCUCAACCUGGGAAUGGCAGUGGAUACUGGCAAGCUAGAGUGUGUCAGAGGAUGGUGGAAUUCCCGGUGUAGCGGUGAAAUGCGUAGAGAUCGGGAGGAACAUCAGUGGCGAAGGCGGCCAUCUGGGACAACACUGACGCUGAGGCACGAAAGCGUGGGGAGCAAACAGGAUUAGAGACCCGAGUAGUCCCUGUCUCUUAUAC
This 301-nucleotide ribosomal RNA is filed under the name uncultured bacterium. RNAcentral describes it as "partial 16S ribosomal RNA". It matches the Rfam family "Bacterial small subunit ribosomal RNA", at positions 509 to 807 of the family's 1533-position model. The record is from RNAcentral.